RNAcentral lists this ribosomal RNA (1343 nucleotides) under uncultured bacterium. RNAcentral describes it as "16S ribosomal RNA". It matches the Rfam family "Bacterial small subunit ribosomal RNA", at positions 28 to 1378 of the family's 1533-position model. The record is from RNAcentral.
GACGAACGCUGGCGGCGUGCUUAACACAUGCAAGUCGAACGGAAAGGCCCUGCUUUUGUGGGGUGCUCGAGUGGCGAACGGGUGAGUAACACGUGAGUAACCUGCCCUUGACUUUGGGAUAACUUCAGGAAACUGGGGCUAAUACCGGAUAGGAGCUCCUGCUGCAUGGUGGGGGUUGGAAAGUUUCGGCGGUUGGGGAUGGACUCGCGGCUUAUCAGCUUGUUGGUGGGGUAGUGGCUUACCAAGGCUUUGACGGGUAGCCGGCCUGAGAGGGUGACCGGCCACAUUGGGACUGAGAUACGGCCCAGACUCCUACGGGAGGCAGCAGUGGGGAAUAUUGCACAAUGGGCGGAAGCCUGAUGCAGCAACGCCGCGUGCGGGAUGACGGCCUUCGGGUUGUAAACCGCUUUCGCCUGUGACGAAGCGUGAGUGACGGUAAUGGGUAAAGAAGCACCGGCUAACUACGUGCCAGCAGCCGCGGUGAUACGUAGGGUGCGAGCGUUGUCCGGAUUUAUUGGGCGUAAAGGGCUCGUAGGUGGUUGAUCGCGUCGGAAGUGUAAUCUUGGGGCUUAACCCUGAGCGUGCUUUCGAUACGGGUUGACUUGAGGAAGGUAGGGGAGAAUGGAAUUCCUGGUGGAGCGGUGGAAUGCGCAGAUAUCAGGAGGAACACCAGUGGCGAAGGCGGUUCUCUGGGCCUUUCCUGACGCUGAGGAGCGAAAGCGUGGGGAGCGAACAGGCUUAGAUACCCUGGUAGUCCACGCUGUAAACGGUGGGUACUAGGUGUGGGGUCCAUUCCACGGGUUCCGUGCCGUAGCUAACGCUUUAGGUACCCCGCCUGGGGAGUACGGCCGCAAGGCUAAAACUCAAAGGAAUUGACGGGGCCCCGCACAAGCGGCGGAGCAUGCGGAUUAAUUCGAUGCAACGCGUAGAACCUUACCUGGGUUUGACAUGGAUCGGGAGCGCUCAGAGAUGGGUGUGCCUCUUUUGGGGUCGGUUCACAGGUGGUGCAUGGCUGUCGUCAGCUCGUGUCGUGAGAUGUUGGGUUAAGUCCCGCAACGAGCGCAACCCCUGUUCACUGUUGCCAGCACGUUAUGGUGGGGACUCAGUGGAGACCGCCGGGGUCAACUCGGAGGAAGGUGGGGAUGACGUCAAGUCAUCAUGCCCCUUAUGUCCAGGGCUUCACGCAUGCUACAAUGGCUGGUACAGAGAGUGGCGAGCCUGUGAGGGUGAGCGAAUCUCGGAAAGCCGGCCUCAGUUCGGAUUGGGGUCUGCAACUCGACCUCAUGAAGUCGGAGUCGCUAGUAAUCGCAGAUCAGCAACGCUGCGGUGAAUACGUUCCCGGG